GACAAACGCUGGCGGCAUGCCUAACACAUGCAAGUCGAACGGACAGAACAGGGAAGCUUUUCGGAGUGGAACUGGAAAGUUAGUGGCGGAUGGGUGAGUAACGCGUGGACAACCUACCUUGUAAAGGGGAAUAACCUCGAGAAAUCGAAGCUAAUACCCCAUAAUAACCUUGCUUCGCAUGAAGUAAGGAGGAAAGGCGGCCUUAGCGCUGUCGAUACAAGAUGGGUCCGCGUCUGAUUAGCUAGUUGGUGAGGUAAAGGCUCACCAAGGCGACGAUCAGUAGCCGGCCUGAGAGGGUGAACGGCCACAUUGGGACUGAGACACGGCCCAAACUCCUACGGGAGGCAGCAGUGGGGAAUCUUCCGCAAUGGGCGAAAGCCUGGCGGAGCAAUGCCGCGUGAGUGAAGAAGGUCUUCGGGUUGUAAAACUCUGUCCUUAUCGAUGAGAGAGUGUUGUAGUAACUGACAAUACUAGGACGGUAGAUGAGGAGGAAGCCCCGGCUAACUAUGUG
This 511-nucleotide ribosomal RNA is filed under the name uncultured bacterium. Its description in RNAcentral is "partial 16S ribosomal RNA". It matches the Rfam family "Bacterial small subunit ribosomal RNA", at positions 28 to 507 of the family's 1533-position model. The record is from RNAcentral.